RNAcentral lists this ribosomal RNA (482 nucleotides) under uncultured bacterium. RNAcentral's name for it is "bacterial SSU rRNA". It matches the Rfam family "Bacterial small subunit ribosomal RNA", at positions 26 to 507 of the family's 1533-position model. The record is from RNAcentral.
AGGACGAACGCUGGCGGCGUGCUUAACACAUGCAAGUCGAACGAGAAUCUAUGGAAAGAGGAUUCGUCCAAUUGAAAUAGAGGACAGUGGCGGACGGGUGAGUAACGCGUGAGGAACCUGCCUUUCAGAGGGGGACAACAGUUGGAAACGACUGCUAAUACCGCAUAACGCGUAGAGGUCGCAUGGCCUUUACGCCAAAGAUUUAUCGCUUAGAGAUGGACCCGCGUCUGAUUAGCCAGUUUGGCGGGGGUUAACGGCCCACCAAAGCGACGAUCAGUAGCCGGCCUGAGAGGGUGAACGGCCACAUUAGGACUGAGACACGGCCCAAACUCCUACGGGAGGCAGCAGUGGGGAAUAUUGCACAAUGGGGAAACCCUGAUGCAGCGACGCCGCGUGAGUGAAGAAGUAUUUCGGUAUGUAAAGCUCUAUCAGCAGGGAAGAAAGUGACGGUACCUGAAUAAGAAGCCCCGGCUAACUACGUG